UACAGAGGGGGCGAGCGUUAUUCGGAAUUAUUGGGCGUAAAGGGCGCGUAGGCGGCGACGCAAGUGGAAGGUGAAAUCCCUCGGCUCAACCGAGGAACUGCCCUCCAAACUGCGUUGCUUGAGUCCGGGAGAGGCGAGUGGAAUUCCCAGUGUAGCGGUGAAAUGCGUAGAUAUUGGGAGGAACACCAGUGGCGAAGGCGGCUCGCUGGACCGGAACUGACGCUGAGGCGCGAAAGCGUGGGGAGUAAACAGG
RNAcentral lists this unclassified non-coding RNA (253 nucleotides) under uncultured Holophagae bacterium. RNAcentral describes it as "contains 16S-23S intergenic spacer region". It matches the Rfam family "Bacterial small subunit ribosomal RNA", at positions 524 to 776 of the family's 1533-position model. The record is from RNAcentral. Lineage: Bacteria; Pseudomonadati; Acidobacteriota; Holophagae.